UGCCUAAUGGCAAAUAUUGGAAACAUUAUCAAGCUUCAGGGGUAAGAUCUAUUUUGAGUGCUUAUCCAUUCUUUAAUGUCCAUGGUUAGUAGAGAAAUCUAGGUCUCCUGUAGGAAUUUUGGAAGAUAUAACAGAAGAAAAGCCCAUCAUCUCUGCUUUGAGAAAACCGAUAGCUUUAUAUUUUAGAACUCUUUUCACAUACACAUCCCCACAUACACAACCACCCCCACAUACACAGACACACAUUCUGAUGCAUGUACAGUUUUGUAGAGCGUUGCUUUAUUUUUUAAAGAAAAACAUAAUUUAUCAGUUUCACCUAUUGUCUUACCGUUUUAGGUUCCUUUUGUGUCAUUAAUCACUGGGAUCUCAUUUUGCUGAAAUAAUAUUUUUAGACACCUGCCGUGGCUGCCUCUCACCUGAAUGGAUGAAUACAGAACAGGACACUUGGCGUAUUCAGGGAUUUUUGAAGACCAGGAAGGUUGAUGGGACGGACAUCCCGUUUGGAUGUGUGGUUUCUGUGUCUCAAACGCCCCUCCCUCCCGCCUCGGUACCUGGUGAAAUCCA
Molecule: long non-coding RNA, 564 nt
Filed under: Ailuropoda melanoleuca (giant panda)
Lineage: Eukaryota; Metazoa; Chordata; Mammalia; Carnivora; Ursidae
Description: lncRNA (ENSAMEG00000026438.1)
Source: RNAcentral